Molecule: non-coding RNA, 336 nt
Organism: Pelobates cultripes (western spadefoot toad)
Lineage: Eukaryota; Metazoa; Chordata; Amphibia; Anura; Pelobatidae
Source: the annotation of a GenBank genome assembly
CAGUAAUGUGUCUGAGUGUAUAACAGAGCUCCACAGCAAUAAUACUCCCAGUAAUGUGUCUGAGUGUAUAACAGAGCCCCACAGCAAUAAUGCUCCCAGUAAUGUGUCUGAGUGUAUAACAGAGCUCCACAGCAAUAAUACUCCCAGUAAUGUGUCUGAGUGUAUAACAGAGCUCCACAGCAAUAAUACUCCCAGUAAUGCGUCUGAGUGUAUAACAGAGCUCCACAGCAAUAAUACACCCAGUAAUGUGUCUGAGUGUAUAACAGAGCUCCACAGCAAUAAUACUCCCAGUAAUGUGUCUGAGUGUAUAACAGAGCUCCACAGCAAUAAUACUCC